UCCUACGGGGGGCAGCAGUGAGGAAUAUUGGUCAAUGGGAGAGAUCCUGAACCAGCCAAGCCGCGUGAGGGAAGACGGCCCUAUGGGUUGUAAACCUCUUUUGUCGGAGAACAAAACCCGGGACGUGUCCCGGACUGCGUGUAUCCGAAGAAAAAGCAUCGGCUAACUCCGUGCCAGCAGCCGCGGUAAUACGGAGGAUGCGAGCGUUAUCCGGAUUUAUUGGGUUUAAAGGGUGCGUAGGCGGUCUGUUAAGUCAGCGGUAAGAUUGCGGGGCUCAACCCCGUCGCGCCGUUGAAACUGGCAUA
This 305-nucleotide ribosomal RNA is filed under the name uncultured bacterium. Its description in RNAcentral is "bacterial SSU rRNA". It matches the Rfam family "Bacterial small subunit ribosomal RNA", at positions 337 to 640 of the family's 1533-position model. The record is from RNAcentral.